UGCCACUGUGUUGCGCUUGCGCGAGGGAGAGCGUCUCCGAGAACAACACUGCCCACUUUUUCAAGAGAGAAUUUGUGCAUCUUGGACGAGCCGCGGAAUCGUGUCGUGGGUACAACGCAGAGAUAACUAUUCCUCGGAGACAUGAGUUAUCCAAUGUCGUCGAAUCAGUCUAGACCAAUGUCCCAAGGAAAUUAUCAGGGCCCAGGCGAUUUGCCUAUGGGUUCCGCAAAAGAACAGACAUUGAUGUGGCAGCAAAAUUCCUAUAUGAAUGAUUCAGGCAUCCAUUCUGGCGCCGUUACUCAAGCACCAUCUUUGUCCGGCAAGGAAGAUGAAGAAAUGGAAGGGGAUCAAUUAAUGUUUGAUUUGGACCAAGGAUUUGCACAGGGUUUUACACAGGAUCAAGUUGAUGAGAUGAACCAACAAUUGAGUCAUACUCGGUCGCAACGUGUACGUGCUGCUAUGUUUCCUGAAACACUAGAGGAAGGUGUAGAGAUACCUUCUACACAAUUUGAUCCAGCACAGCCUACCGCUGUACAAAGAUUGGCCGAACCAAGCCAAAUGCUGAAGCAUGCUGUUGUCAAUUUGAUUAACUAUCAGGAUGAUGCUGAUCUCGCUACGCGCGCUAUUCCCGAAUUAAUCAAGCUUUUAAAUGAUGAGGAUCAGGUGGUUGUUUCUCAAGCAGCUAUGAUGGUACAUCAGUUAUCUAAAAAAGAAGCUUCCCGCCAUGCUAUCAUGAAUAGUUCGCAAAUGGUAGCUGCCUUAGUGCGCGCCAUUUCUAAUAGCGACGAUUUAGAAUCGACAAAGGCUGCAGUCGGUACCUUGCACAAUUUAUCACAUCAUAGACAGGGCUUACUAGCAAUUUUUAAGAGCGGUGGAAUUCCCGCGCUUGUGAAACUGCUGAGUUCUCCAGUAGAAUCUGUUCUCUUUUAUGCGAUAACAACUCUUCAUAACUUAUUGCUUCAUCAAGAUGGCUCCAAGAUGGCUGUACGUCUUGCUGGCGGUUUGCAAAAAAUGGUUGCUUUAUUGCAACGAAACAAUGUCAAAUUUUUGGCCAUUGUUACCGAUUGCUUGCAAAUUCUAGCAUAUGGAAAUCAAGAGAGCAAAUUAAUAAUUCUUGCUUCGCAAGGUCCGAUAGAACUUGUGCGUAUCAUGCGCUCUUAUGAAUAUGAGAAACUGUUAUGGACUACUUCGAGGGUGUUGAAAGUAUUAUCUGUAUGUCCGAGUAACAAGCCCGCGAUCGUAGAAGCAGGUGGCAUGCAGGCACUUGCUAUGCAUCUCGCAAAUCCGAGUCAAAGAUUAGUGCAGAAUUGUUUAUGGACAUUACGUAAUCUAUCGGAUGCUGGAACAAAAGUUGAUGGACUUGAUAACUUGUUGCAGAGUCUCGUUCUUGUACUCGGAUCAACGGAUGUGAACGUCGUUACUUGUGCGGCUGGCAUUUUAUCAAACUUGACUUGUAACAAUCAACGUAAUAAAGUUGCGGUGUGUAAUUAUGGUGGUGUGGACGCUCUCGUUCGUACAAUUAUCAAUGCCGGCGAUCGAGAAGAGAUAACUGAACCGGCAGUAUGUGCUUUACGUCAUUUGACAUCGCGUCACAAUGAAGCAGAAAUGGCGCAAAACUCGGUUCGAUUGAAUUACGGUAUUCAAGUUAUAGUUAAAUUACUUCACCCACCGUCGCGAUGGCCAUUGGUGAAGGCGGUUAUUGGACUAAUCCGCAAUUUGGCUCUUUGUCCUGCAAAUCACAGUCCAUUACGCGAUCACGGUGCAAUACAUCAUCUCAUAAGACUUUUAAUGCGUGCAUUUAAUGACACACAGAGACAACGUUCAUCAGUUGCUAGUACUGGUAGCCAACAGACAUCAGGUGCAUAUGCAGAUGGAGUACGUAUGGAGGAAAUAGUAGAAGGUUCAGUGGGAGCACUUCAUAUUCUAGCAAGGGAAUCCCAUAAUAGAGCGAUAAUUCGCUCACAAAACGUGAUUCCAAUUUUCGUACAAUUAUUAUUUAAUGAGAUUGAAAACAUUCAACGCGUGGCAGCCGGUGUACUUUGCGAACUAGCAGCCGACAAAGAAGGUGCCGAGAUAAUAGAACAAGAGGGUGCUACUGCUCCUCUGACGGAACUACUUCACUCUAGAAAUGAAGGUGUUGCCACUUAUGCAGCAGCAGUAUUGUUUCGCAUGAGCGAAGAUAAGCCCCAAGAGUACAAAAAACGACUUUCCAUGGAGCUGACGAAUUCCUUAUUCCGCGAAGACACAAAUUUAUGGAACAAUACUGACUUCAGCAUGGCCCCAGAUCUCCAGCUACCUAAUCUUCAGGACAUGCUUGGCCCUGAUCAAGGCUAUGAUGGUAUGUAUGGCCAAGGACCUCCUAGUGUACACAGCAGCCAUGGUGGUCGAGGUUAUCAACCGCAAGCAGCUUAACCAAUGGACUCUUAAAUUAAAAUACAGGCUAUCAACAGUAUCUCACAGUAACAUAGGUUAUGACCAGAUACCAAUAGACUCAAUGCAAGGAUUGGAGAUUGGUGGUGGAUCGACGUAUGGUGCGAUGGACACUAUGGACGUGGCGCACGAGGGUGAUUUGAGCUUCGAUCAUUUGGAAGAGCUGCCUGCACCGCCGCAAGAUAAUAAUCAGGUCGCGGCCUGGUAUGAUACCG
This 2645-nucleotide unclassified non-coding RNA is filed under the name Camponotus floridanus (Florida carpenter ant). Its description in RNAcentral is "armadillo segment polarity protein, transcript variant X2". The record is from RNAcentral. Lineage: Eukaryota; Metazoa; Arthropoda; Insecta; Hymenoptera; Formicidae.